GAUGAAGAACGUAGCGAAAUGCGAUAAGUAAUGUGAAUUGCAGAAUUCAGUGAAUCAUCGAAUCUUUGAACGCACAUUGCGCCCGCCAGUAUUCUGGCGGGCAUGCCUGUUCGAGCGUCAUUUCAACCAUCAAGCCCCCGGCUUGUGUUGGGGACCUGCGGCUGCCGCAGGCCCUGAAAAGCAGUGGCGGGCUCGCUGUCACACCGAGCGUAGUAGCAUACAUCUCGCUCUGGGCGUGCUGCGGGUUCCGGCCGUUAAACCACCUUCAUAACCCAAGGUUGACCUCGGAUCAGGUAGGAAGACCCGCUGAACUUAAGCAUAUCAAUAAGCGAAGGA
This 336-nucleotide unclassified non-coding RNA is filed under the name soil metagenome. RNAcentral describes it as "partial contains 5.8S ribosomal RNA, internal transcribed spacer 2, and large subunit ribosomal RNA". The stretch from base 1 to 120 matches the Rfam family "5.8S ribosomal RNA", at positions 35 to 154 of the family's 154-position model. The record is from RNAcentral.